This 1185-nucleotide ribosomal RNA is filed under the name Cylindrifflugia bacillariarum. RNAcentral's name for it is "Difflugia bacillariarum SSU rRNA". It matches the Rfam family "Eukaryotic small subunit ribosomal RNA", at positions 656 to 1755 of the family's 1831-position model. The record is from RNAcentral. Lineage: Eukaryota; Tubulinea; Elardia; Arcellinida; Cylindriflugiidae.
GCGAGCGCUCUGCUACAUGACGUGGGUCUGGUUCGCGCCUUUGGCUGCUACCUCCAAACGGUGUUAUAUGAGUGCCUCUGGACUCUCCUGGGUUCCCGAUUUCUUCUUAUACGUUGGGGUCUAUCUUCAUUCUCUGAUGACAUGCCUCUUUGUGACCUGGUGUUCAUCACCUUGGCUCACUGUAUACUUUAACCUUGAAAAAAUUAGAGUGUUCAAAGCAGGCUAUUGCCUGAAUAAAUCGCAUGGGAUAAUGAAAAGGACUCUGUAGUGAAGUGGUACGCCUCUAACUGAGUACAUGAUUAAUAGGGACAAUCGGGGUCGCUCGUAUUGAUACGGGAGAGGUGAAAUUCUAAGAUCGUAUCAAGACGAACUAUUGCGAAAGCAUUCGACAAGGGUGUUUUCAUUAAUCAAGAACGAAAGUUGGGGGAUUAAAGAUGAUUAGAUACCGUCGUAGUCUUGACUAUAAACUAUAUUGACUAAAUAUUAUGGAACGUUGUUCCUGACUCCUGUAGUAUUUUAUGAGAAAUCACAAGUGUGAUUUUAGGGGGAGUAUGGUCGCAAGGCUGAAACUUAAAGGAAUUGACGGAAGGGCACCCCCAGGAGUGGAACCUGCGGCUUAAUUUGACUCAACGCGGGACAACUUACCAGGUCAGGACACAGUAAGGAUUGACAGAUUGAUAGUUCUUUCAUGAUUUUGUGGAAAGUGGUGCAUGGCCGUUUUUAGUUGGUGGAUUGAUUUGUCUGGUUAAUUCCGUUAACGAACGAGACCUUUAUCUACUAACUAGUAACAAUAAUAUUGGUCUACGGAUCAUCUAUUAUUAUUGACUUCUUAGAGAGACCCAUUAAGUAUAUUAAAAGGAGGAGAAAGGCAACAACAGGUCUGUGAUGCCCUUAGAUGUCCUGGGCUGCACGCGGGUUACAUUGGAUUUUCGAAACUGUUAUUUAUCCUUGCACGAAUGUGCUGGGUAAUCCUAAAUAGAAAUGCCAAAACUGGGAUAGUAAAUUGUAAUUAUUGUUCUUGAACGAGGAAUUCCUAGUAAGCUUAAUUCAUUACAUUGGGCUGAUUACGUCCCUGCCCUUUUGUACACACCGCCCGUCGCUCCUACCGAUUGGAUAGUCCGAUGAGGUCUUAGGACAACUGGGAUCUUGGUUGGUUGCAAAACUAAUCAAACCCAUGUUAGAUUU